CGCACCACAUUUGUUAAUAUUACGUCAGGAGUCUUCAGAAUGUUCGGUGAAUGCUUCGGGAGGAACAGAGAGGCCUGAUUUAUGUCGACAAGAAACCACAGAACACCCGGUUCUUGAGCACCAGCGCAAGGAUUCCCCAUGUGAAACGCUGAGUGUCUACAAAUUCUGAUAUUCCGAGGGCUUCCAGCUUCUGAACGACGUCGCAACGAAUUCCUGGCCAGUAGCAAAUGUAGAGAGCCCUGGAAUUUUCAUGGAGUUGUCCAUCUUCGUACAGCUGUUGCAGCUUCCGCACAGUGAGCAUCGUCUUACCGGUACCAGCUGCUCCGUGGAUUAUGAGGGGUUUGCCAGUCGGUCUCCGAUUUAACAAGUCCACUUGUUCCUGCGUAACAAAUAAUACAGUUCUGUAAGCAGGUUUUUUUAAUAAAUGUAGUCUUCUGUUGCAUGAAGGUUACUACAACGUGCAAAUAUAUAAUUUUUAAAAAUGAGAUUUUUACUUUAGAACAUGUCAUGAUUGUUUGUCUUUGCAUCUUGCCUCUGAGAUACUUUGAAUGUAAAAAGUUGGUACUACUGCUGUUCCCAUUUUGUAUCACUCGUCCUACCCCUUCCUUUGAAAAUCAAUAAAAUGCUAACCCACC
Non-coding RNA from Zootermopsis nevadensis, 635 nucleotides. The record is from RefSeq and is a predicted model, not a curated record. Lineage: Eukaryota; Metazoa; Arthropoda; Insecta; Blattodea; Termopsidae.